AACGCACAUUGCGCCCGCCAGUAUUCUGGCGGGCAUGCCUGUCCGAGCGUCAUUUCAACCCUCGAGCCCCUCCGGGGGGUCGGCGUUGGGGAUCGGCCCUCCCUCGCGGGGGCCGGCCCCGAAAUGCAGUGGCGGUCUCGCCGCAGCCUCUCAUGCGCAGUAGUUUGCACAACUCGCACCGGGAGCGCGGCGGGCCCACGCCGUAAAACAGCCCAACCUUCUGAAAUGUUGACCUCGGAUCAGGUAGGAAUACCCGCUGAACUUAA
This 266-nucleotide unclassified non-coding RNA is filed under the name uncultured Trichoderma. RNAcentral describes it as "sequence contains ITS2". The stretch from base 1 to 52 matches the Rfam family "5.8S ribosomal RNA", at positions 103 to 154 of the family's 154-position model. Lineage: Eukaryota; Fungi; Ascomycota; Sordariomycetes; Hypocreales; Hypocreaceae. The record is from RNAcentral.